Molecule: long non-coding RNA, 512 nt
Organism: Oxyura jamaicensis (ruddy duck)
Lineage: Eukaryota; Metazoa; Chordata; Aves; Anseriformes; Anatidae
Exons: 2
Source: RefSeq, a predicted model, not a curated record
GCAGUAUGUAAACUUGGGGGGAUGCAGAACAGGAGACUUGGAACGUCUGCGACGUGGAACUCUCGCCGAUCCUCUCGAAGGCUUUCUCACACACCUGUAGGGUUGUAAGGGGUCAAUAGAGAGAUCAGCUGCUGGUGGCAUACAAUCUCUGGCAGGAACAGUGGAGGAGUCUGAACGAACUGGAGCUCCCCUGAAGGAGAGAUGUGUAACAACCCCCGUUUUAAAGGUACUUCCCCCAAAAUCUUUUGUUGAAGGUGCCUGUCAUCCCAAACUGAGCUGUAACGCAGAACCUGGUAUCAGAUAGAGCUGCGGGCAGAAUAACACUGAAUAUCCAGGUACGUCAAAACAAAAAUAAAAGAACCCCAAAAGGUGGUGAGAGAAGGGUGCGAUCAUUUAAGACUUGAAGAGAAGGACCUCUGAGGAGAUUAGUGGAAAAGAAAGUUUUAGGUACCUUCUCUCUGAUAAGAGGCAGUAUUAUUAUUUUUUGUAAGUACUUGAUAAAAGCCUCUUAA